GCACGCACACGCACAAAUCAUACACUUUCAGUAAACAUCAAGCACAAAAGCUGAAAUAUUCAUGACAUCCCAAAUUUAGGACUCCUGCCCAGUUGUUAUACUCAUUCAACCAUCUGCCAGGUGUAUGUAUGUAGCUACAUAGAAUGAGAAAUUAGCUAUUUGCUUAGUCAAAAAGUUUGUUUGACAGCACGAUAUGUGGCUGACACGAUCCACUAGACACUGAUAAGUACUUGGCCUGAAGGACAAGUUGUUCAAAUUUAUCACUAUACUACUGACAAACAUACUGUUUUGUUCUAGAGGUGCAACAAGGGGAAUAAAACAAGGGUCUAGCCACAACCUAUCCAUUACAUUUCUAUAUUUAUUGAAUGUGAGAAUUUUGGAGUGAUUGUGGUGAUGGAGGAAAUUUCAGGUGAUUAAUACAGACAUUAGAACUCCUUCUUGGGAGUCUCCAGGUGAACUUGUUUUCAAGGCACAUAACUGCUAGAUACUGCUAGACUGCUUGUGAGUAUACACAUUAGAGCUUGACCGAUUUAUCGGGGGGGCCAAUAUUAUUGGCCAAUAUUAGUCAUUUUCCUAACUAUCGAUAUUGGCACUUAUAAUGGCUGAUAAAUGAAUAUUUAAAAAAUAAAAUAAAAAUGGACGAAACACCCUCCAACCAUGUUAUGAGUGUUGACGUCCACCAGAGGGCACUUUACGAGUUUAUGCCACCAGACUGACAUACAGGACGGCCAGUCUGAGAUCUCUUCUUGUAGGUCAGGGUCAGGUGUCACGGGUCACUAUGCAUGCGCAGACGAGCUAGCUACUGCAAAACUCAAGCGGCAAAGUGACCUGGUUAGCGGCUUCCAUCGAUAUCAACAAAAGAAGGGAUACAAAAAAAUGUGCAUUUGUCAAACUCCCAUCGCUAUUCCGAAGAAGGGGAAUGUUGAAAUGCACUUUUGAACUGUUCAUAAAAAGUGCAACACUGACUUCCCACCAAAAAAGCGAGCUGAGGCAGACACUGAAGCAUCAUUACGGCUCAUAAAAUGGAAUUAUUAUAACUAAGGUUCAGGAACUGGACCACGCCACUCCUCUUGCCACCCAGGUUCAGCCAAAUCAAACCACCUGUGUCUCAUCAAUCUAACUACCUGCGCCUAAUCAACUCAACCACCUCCGCCGCCCUGAUCCCAUCACCUGUGAAACCUAUAUAGGAUCACCAGCAGCUCAGCCUUCGUCAUUGCCAUCCCACGGCAAGAAGAUAUUACAGAACAGGGACCCGGGCCUUCCAGCACAGGAACCACGGGGAGAAAGAUGAAGCCAAGCCUAUUAGGAUGUCCUCCCACUGACACGUACCCCCACUCUACCAACCCCCAGGUUCCUAGAUGGUCCGGCAAAUCCGCAGCCCUACUCAAAGCUCCCUUUUCAUCCACCUUGAUUCAUUUAAGAACAAUAAUAAACCAGUUCAUAUUUUGUUUUGUUAUGUGCAGCUAAUGUUAUACAUGGUAGACUAGAUGAUUUUGAAAAAAAACAUCCAGUGUCAGGCCCAACUACUUAAGGUAUAAAUCUGAAUACAAAUUGAAAUGCAAUAUAUUUUUUUUUUUUUUUCAACAUAAACAGAUAGAAAAAGUACCUUUGUGCAAACGAAUAUGAGGGACAGUUGGUUACGGUCUUGGUCUAAAUCUUAACAAAUCCUAAUCAUACUGGUGGCACAUUGUUGGGGUCAAAUGAUUAUUUGACUGCCAAAUCUGAAAUACAUUUGGCAGGCCCCAACAUGUGAUAUCCUGCAUUUAGAUAACUGAGUACAGUAAUCUGUGUUGUUUUGUAUGUAUCUACAAGUACAUAUUCAAUAUAAAUAAAAUGGCAGUAUUA
This is a long non-coding RNA of Acanthopagrus latus (yellowfin seabream), 1845 nucleotides long. RefSeq lists it as uncharacterized. The transcript has 3 exons. Lineage: Eukaryota; Metazoa; Chordata; Actinopteri; Spariformes; Sparidae. The record is from RefSeq and is a predicted model, not a curated record.